AUGGCGGAGAACGUACGGUCGCCUUUCGACUACCGGGAGCCGCCGACCCUCGACAGCGACGGGGACGGGAGCAAACCUCCGCCGCCACGGGGACGCGUAUGUGGAAGAAAACGGAAGGGCACUCCUGUGAAGGUGUGUGAUCGCGCCUACGUGACCGAAGAUGAAGAGGAAGAGAGCAUGUCUGAGCACAGCUACAGCCCUGGGGAUGGCCAGUACCCAGAGGGGGCAGAGGACCGCCUCCCGCCGCCGGGAAGCCCCUACUACCUGGCCGACCCGUCCCAGCUAUGCGUGCCCGAGCUUGGCGAGGACGGCUCCAGCGGCGUGCGCGGCCCCGUGCUCUUCCACCCGCCGCCCAACUGCCGCAUCCGGGAGGUGCACUGCGGGAGCCAGGUGCGGCUGGUCGUCAUAGCGAUCCGGGACAUCGCCAAGGGCGAGGAGAUCACGGUGGACUACAGCCUCACGGACUGGGGCGAGAACGCCAUGGAGGAAGAGGCAGGGCCACACCCUCUCUCCCUCUCGGUCUCGGAUUACCUCACCCCCUCCUGGUCGCUCUCCCCCUCCUCCUCCCCCCUCACGCACUCUGAGCCCAGCGACUCGGACCGCGAGGAGGAGGAGGAAGAGGAGGAGGAGGAGGAAGACGACGACGAUGACGACGACGAGGAAGAGGACCUGGAGGAGAUGCGCGGCCGCAUGCUCCGGCGCCGCAAGAAGCGCAAGAUGGCCGCCGCCGCCGUCAACCCCAAGAAGAAGAGCUCCGCCCCGCCGCCCCCCACACCGGCGGCGGCGGCGGCGGCCACCUCGUCCCGCGGGCCCGGCCGCCCCUGCUCCUCGUUCCCGCGGCCCUCGGCGGCCCCGCCCCCCCGCUCCCAGUCGCAGCCGCCGCCGCCGGUGAGCGCGCUGGCCCCGCCCACCACCAACAUCAACAACAACAUCAACAUCAACAUCGGGGGGGCGUCGGGCGUGGCGGCGGCGGCGGCGGCAGGGAGCCGGCGGCAGCACUGCCCGUACUGCGGGCGCCACUAUCGCUCGCUGGCACGCCACCUGGAGAAGCACCACGCGGGGCAGCCCGAGGUGCGCGCCGCCAUGGAGCUAGCGCACCUGCACGCUAACGGCGGCGGCGGCUCGCACGCGCGCGCCGCCUCCUCCUCCACCUCCUCCGCGUCGGCCCCCUGCGCCGCCGCCGCCGCGCCGCACGGCCACUCCUUCGCCGUCCCGCAGCCCUCGUCCUCCUCCAACCCCACCCCGCCGCCGCUCUUCUCCUCCUCCUCCUCCUCCUCCUCCUCCCGGGAGCGGGAGUCGCCCGCCACGCGCUCGGCCGGCCCCGCCGUCUCCUUCUCGCUCUCCCUGUCGCCGCCGUCCCUGGCCCCGCCCGCCGCCGCCGCCGCCGCCGGCAGCAGGAAGGGCGGCGGGCCGACGGCGCCGGCCGCCAAGCGCGGCGCCGGCGCCUGUCAGGCGGCGUCCCGGGUCAAGAGCCCCUCGCCACCGCCGCCCCCGGCCGCCCCGCCGCCGCAGGUGGCCCCGCCCCCUCCGGCGCCGGCCUCCUCGCCGCCCGCCCCCCGGAGGGGCCAGAGGAUGAAGAGGGAGAAGCAGGAGGAGCAGCAGAAGGUGGAGAAGGAGGAGCUGGCGCCCCCGCCCACGCCGGAGCCCCACCUGGACCAGGAGGAGGAGCUAGAGCUGAGCGCCGAGGGCGAGGAGGAGGAGGAGGACGCGCCGGAGGAGACCAACGGAGAGCUGCUCAGAAUGUGUUUUAACUUCUGAUGCCGUCGCCAUGGUCCCCAAACAUCCUUCUUGAUUUGUGGUUGGUGAGAAGCCGUGGUAGACGCCGUCAUAUCACAA
Long non-coding RNA from Gadus morhua (Atlantic cod), 1836 nucleotides. Lineage: Eukaryota; Metazoa; Chordata; Actinopteri; Gadiformes; Gadidae. The record is from Ensembl.